This 105-nucleotide transfer RNA is filed under the name Shewanella fidelis. RNAcentral describes it as "tRNA-OTHER". Lineage: Bacteria; Pseudomonadati; Pseudomonadota; Gammaproteobacteria; Alteromonadales; Shewanellaceae. The record is from RNAcentral.
CGCGGGAUGGAGCAGUCUGGUAGCUCGUCGGGCUCAACUCUUUAUAACAAGCUGGCGAAGGUCGUCGCUAAGGUUUUGUAAACAGUAAUCUGGCUCCCGCAACCA